Molecule: ribosomal RNA, 253 nt
Filed under: uncultured bacterium
Lineage: Bacteria
Description: partial 16S ribosomal RNA
Rfam family: Bacterial small subunit ribosomal RNA
Source: RNAcentral
UACAGAGGGGGCAAGCGUUGUUCGGAAUUACUGGGCGUAAAGGGCGCGUAGGCGGCCUGUUAAGUCGAACGUGAAAUCCCCGGGCUCAACCCGGGAACUGCGUCCGAUACUGGCAGGCUUGAAUCCGGGAGAGGGAUGCGGAAUUCCAGGUGUAGCGGUGAAAUGCGUAGAUAUCUGGAGGAACACCGGUGGCGAAGGCGGCAUCCCGGACCGGCAUUGACGCUGAGGCGCGAAAGCCAGGGGAGCAAACGGG